Molecule: ribosomal RNA, 478 nt
Filed under: uncultured bacterium
Lineage: Bacteria
Description: bacterial SSU rRNA
Rfam family: Bacterial small subunit ribosomal RNA
Source: RNAcentral
AGCGGCAGGCGUUAACACAUGCAAGUCGAGGGGCGAGCACGGGUAGCAAUACCUGGUGGCGACCGGCGCAAGGGUGCGUAACGCGUGAGCAACAUGCCCUAUACAGGGGGAGUAAUCCAGGGAAACUUGGUCUAAUAUCCCAUAGUAUUUAGUAGGAGGCAUCUUCUAUAAAUUAAAGCUUCGGUGGUAUAGGAUUGGCUCGCGUGACAUUAGCUAGAUGGUGAGGUAACGGCUCACCAUGGCAAUGAUGUCUAGGGGUUCUGAGAGGAAGGCCCCCCACACUGGGACUGAGACACGGCCCAGACUCCUACGGGAGGCAGCAGUGAGGAAUAUUGGACAAUGGAUGGAAAUCUGAUCCAGCCAUGCCGCGUGCAGGAAGACAGCCCUAUGGGUUGUAAACUGCUUUUAUAUGGGAGCAAUAAGGUCUACGUGUAGACUGAUGAGAGUACCAUAUGAAUAAGCAUCGGCUAACUCCGUG